This 440-nucleotide ribosomal RNA is filed under the name uncultured bacterium. RNAcentral describes it as "partial 16S ribosomal RNA". It matches the Rfam family "Bacterial small subunit ribosomal RNA", at positions 338 to 795 of the family's 1533-position model. The record is from RNAcentral.
CCUACGUGAGGCUGCAGUGGGGAAUAUUGCACAAUGGGGGAAACCCUGAUGCAGCGACGCCGCGUGAGUGAAGAAGUAAUUCGUUAUGUAAAGCUCUAUCAGCAGGGAAGAAAAUGACGGUACCUGAGUAAGAAGCCCCGGCUAACUACGUGCCAGCAGCCGCGGUAAUACGUAGGGGGCAAGUGUUAUCCGGAUUUACUGGGUGUAAAGGGAGCGUAGACGGCAGUGCAAGUCUGGAGUGAAAGGCUGGGGCUCAACCCCCGGACUGCUCUGGAAACUGUACGGCUGGAGUGCAGGAGAGGUAAGUGGAAUUCCUAGUGUAGCGGUGAAAUGCGUAGAUAUUAGGAGGAACACCAGUGGCGAAGGCGGCUUACUGGACUGUAACUGACGUUGAGGCUCGAAAGCGUGGGGAGCAAACAGGAUUAGAUACCCCUGUAGUC